UACGUAGGGGGCUAGCGUUGCUCGGAAUCACUGGGCGUAAAGCGCACGUAGGCGGAUUGCUAAGUCAGGGGUGAAAUCCUGGAGCUCAACUUCAGAACUGCCUUUGAUACUGGCGAUCUUGAGUCCGGGAGAGGUGAGUGGAACUGCGAGUGUAGAGGUGAAAUUCGUAGAUAUUGGGAAGAACACCAGUGGCGAAGGCGGCUAUCUGGACGGUUUCUGACGCUAAGACACGAAAGCGUGGGGAGCAAACAGG
RNAcentral lists this ribosomal RNA (253 nucleotides) under uncultured bacterium. Its description in RNAcentral is "partial 16S ribosomal RNA". It matches the Rfam family "Bacterial small subunit ribosomal RNA", at positions 524 to 776 of the family's 1533-position model. The record is from RNAcentral.